AUUGAACGCUGGCGGCAUGCCUUACACAUGCAAGUCGAACGGUAACAGGUCUUAGGAUGCUGACGAGUGGCGAACGGGUGAGUAAUACAUCGGAACGUGCCCGAUCGUGGGGGAUAACGAAGCGAAAGCUUUGCUAAUACCGCAUACGAUCUACGGAUGAAAGCAGGGGACCGCAAGGCCUUGCGCGAACGGAGCGGCCGAUGGCAGAUUAGGUAGUUGGUGGGAUAAAAGCUUACCAAGCCGACGAUCUGUAGCUGGUCUGAGAGGACGACCAGCCACACUGGGACUGAGACACGGCCCAGACUCCUACGGGAGGCAGCAGUGGGGAAUUUUGGACAAUGGGCGAAAGCCUGAUCCAGUCAUGCCGCGUGCAGGAUGAAGGCCUUCGGGUUGUAAACUGCUUUUGUACGGAACGAAAAGACUCUGGUUAAUACCUGGGGUCCAUGACGGUACCGUAAGAAUAAGCACCGGCUAACUACGUG
Molecule: ribosomal RNA, 482 nt
Filed under: uncultured bacterium
Lineage: Bacteria
Description: partial 16S ribosomal RNA
Rfam family: Bacterial small subunit ribosomal RNA
Source: RNAcentral